Molecule: long non-coding RNA, 696 nt
Filed under: Capra hircus (goat)
Lineage: Eukaryota; Metazoa; Chordata; Mammalia; Artiodactyla; Bovidae
Description: lncRNA (ENSCHIG00010029663.1)
Source: RNAcentral
GUGCCCUCCUUCAACUGGACGCAGGGAGGCGGUGGGUGGGGCAGGGGCCAGAAAACAAGUCAACUUCUAACUUCCCCUUCACCACGGGCGGCAUGUUUCUCACGUCCGUCUUCAUUGGCUCACCCACCAGAGCCAACUGAUAGCCAGACUACGAAACGACAGUCAGGUCCAGCAGCUGAGGCGAGGCGGAGCUCCACGCAGACCCACUCUGUUUCCAUCCAGCCAAUCAGCGCCAGCAUCCAUUGGUCACGUGGUCAUCGUGCACAUGCGCACACGAGAGAACGCCUCAUUCAGGUCCUGGCGUGGCGGAGGAGCCGGGCCAUAGUUUCUUGCUGCGUGUUGAAACUCUUCUCCAGUUGUACUCUCGCGGGUAAUUUCCCUGCGAAUAGCCCCACCAGGUUCCCCAGGAUGGAGAUGAAUUCCAGAGAUGAAUUUUGCUGUAUUCAACACAGCACAUUGCAUUUAAAAUGGAAGAGCCAAGAAGAAACCACCAGUCACUGGUCUGGGGAACAUAGACGGCCAGCCAUACAUGGUACUCGGGAAGGCGAUGUUUGUCCAGGUGUAAGCCCUGCAGCAAAGGGUCCCAGAUUCCAGCCUGUCCCAGCAGGACCAUGCCCACCCUCUGGAAUUACCUGCAUAUCUGAGAAGGUGACCCUCAAGAUUCUCUUCCCUUGGACCCUGGAUUUUAGAACAUAA